This 615-nucleotide ribosomal RNA is filed under the name uncultured fungus. Its description in RNAcentral is "LSU rRNA". It matches the Rfam family "Eukaryotic large subunit ribosomal RNA", at positions 23 to 664 of the family's 3401-position model. The record is from RNAcentral. Lineage: Eukaryota; Fungi.
ACCCGCUGAACUUAAGCAUAUCAAUAAGCGGAGGAAAAGAAACCAACAGGGAUUGCCCUAGUAACGGCGAGUGAAGCGGCAACAGCUCAAAUUUGAAAUCUGGCUUCGGCCCGAGUUGUAAUUUGUAGAGGAAACUUUUGGUGAGGCACCUUCUGAGUCCCUUGGAACAGGGCGCCAUAGAGGGUGAGAGCCCCGUAUAGUCGGAUGCCGAUCCAGUGUAAAGUUCCUUCGACGAGUCGAGUAGUUUGGGAAUGCUGCUCAAAAUGGGAGGUAAAUUUCUUCUAAAGCUAAAUAUAGGCCAGAGACCGAUAGCGCACAAGUAGAGUGAUCGAAAGAUGAAAAGCACUUUGAAAAGAGGGUUAAAUAGCACGUGAAAUUGUUGAAAGGGAAGCGUUUGUGACCAGACUUGCGCCGUUCCGAUCAUCCGGUGUUCUCACCGGUGCACUCGGGGCGGCUCAGGCCAGCAUCGGUUUUGGCGGGGGGAUAAAGGUUCAGGGAACGUGGCUCCUCCGGGAGUGUUAUAGCCCUGGGCGUAAUGCCCUCGCCGGGACCGAGGUUCGCGCAUCUGCAAGGAUGCUGGCGUAAUGGUCAUCAACGACCCGUCUUGAAACACGG